AUACUUACCUGGAUGGGGUCUAUGGCUGAUCAAGAAGAGCCAUGGCCUAGGCUAGUGAUCCACAUUGCACUUUGUGGGUGUGCUGGCUUACCAUCUCCUCUUUAAGGAGAGUGGACGUCAUAAUUUGUGAUAGAGGGGGUACGCAUUCGCGCGGCCCCUG
Molecule: small nuclear RNA, 160 nt
Filed under: Triticum aestivum (bread wheat)
Lineage: Eukaryota; Viridiplantae; Streptophyta; Magnoliopsida; Poales; Poaceae
Also listed under: 1 other name
Description: U1 spliceosomal RNA
Rfam family: U1 spliceosomal RNA
About the family: U1 is a small nuclear RNA (snRNA) component of the spliceosome (involved in pre-mRNA splicing). Its 5' end forms complementary base pairs with the 5' splice junction, thus defining the 5' donor site of an intron.
Source: Rfam by way of RNAcentral